CGGCACUCCGGAGAAUCCCGCGCACAUGCGCCGAUCCGCGCGUCGUGACGGGUGCCGAAGGUGCAAGCGUCCAUACUGAGCGAUCCGCUUUGGCGGAUAUCGGUGUCGGACGUCAAUCUCUCAGGCAAAAGGACGGAGCAGA
RNAcentral lists this non-coding RNA (142 nucleotides) under uncultured Ruminococcus sp. Its description in RNAcentral is "Glycine riboswitch". It matches the Rfam family "Glycine riboswitch aptamer", at positions 9 to 86 of the family's 94-position model. From Rfam's summary of the family: This family represents the bacterial glycine riboswitch. The record is from RNAcentral. Lineage: Bacteria; Bacillati; Bacillota; Clostridia; Eubacteriales; Oscillospiraceae.